CCUACGGGGGGCAGCAGUGGGGAAUAUUGCACAAUGGGGGAAACCCUGAUGCAGCGACGCCGCGUGAGUGAAGAAGUAUUUCGGUACGUAAAGCUCUAUCAGCAGGGAAGAAAAUGACGGUACCUGACUAAGAAGCCCCGGCUAACUACGUGCCAGCAGCCGCGGUAAUACGUAGGGGGCAAGCGUUAUCCGGAUUUACUGGGUGUAAAGGGAGCGUAGACGGCAGCGCAAGUCUGGAGUGAAAUCCCAUGGCUUAACCAUGGAACUGCUUUGGAAACUGUGCAGCUAGAGUGCAGAAGAGGUAAGCGGAAUUCCUAGUGUAGCGGUGAAAUGCGUAGAUAUUAGGAGGAACACCAGUGGCGAAGGCGGCUUACUGGACUGUAACUGACGUUGAGGCUCGAAAGCGUGGGGAGCAAACAGGAUUAGAUACCCCGGUAGUC
Molecule: ribosomal RNA, 440 nt
Filed under: uncultured bacterium
Lineage: Bacteria
Description: partial 16S ribosomal RNA
Rfam family: Bacterial small subunit ribosomal RNA
Source: RNAcentral